UGAGGAGCGCUGGUAGAGCUGUGGACCAGUUGUGUGGAGUCACAUUAUUUCUGUUCAUAACACAUUAGCUCACCGUUACACUACAGAUCCAGGAAUGCUGGCACCUCUUCUACGACCAACUGGAUUCAGAGGCGUUGCUGUGGAGGUCUUCAAAAUUAAAAACACAGCGGUCUCUUACAGGUCAGCUGUAAGCCCUGCUUGGCUGACGGCCACCACAUCCCUCCUGUCCUACCUCGGCCGGUCGGAUGCUUUCUCAGCAGCUGGCACACGUUGGCCGGCAACACCAAGGAAGCGGUGUUUACUUUUAACCAAAAGAAGGAAGCGUACCAAAACCAAAGUGGGAAAAGGCAACUAACAGCUUUAACCAGCUGGAGGU
Molecule: long non-coding RNA, 376 nt
Organism: Gambusia affinis (western mosquitofish)
Lineage: Eukaryota; Metazoa; Chordata; Actinopteri; Cyprinodontiformes; Poeciliidae
Exons: 4
Source: RefSeq, a predicted model, not a curated record